Molecule: ribosomal RNA, 301 nt
Filed under: uncultured bacterium
Lineage: Bacteria
Description: partial 16S ribosomal RNA
Rfam family: Bacterial small subunit ribosomal RNA
Source: RNAcentral
CAGUCGCCACGGUAAUACGAAGGGGGCUAGCGUUGUUCGGAAUUACUGGGCGUAAAGGGCGCGUAGGCGGCCAUUCAAGUUAGAUGUGAAAGCCCUGGGCUCAACCUAGGAAUUGCAUUUGAUACUGCUUGGCUUGAGUUCGGGAGAGGUGAGUGGAAUUCCCAGUGUAGAGGUGAAAUUCGUAGAUAUUGGGAAGAACACCAGUGGCGAAGGCGGCUCACUGGACCGACACUGACGCUGAGGCGCGAAAGCGUGGGGAGCAAACAGGAUUAGAUACCCCUGUAGUCCCUGUCUCUUAUAC